Molecule: transfer RNA, 77 nt
Filed under: Candidatus Arthromitus sp. SFB-mouse-NYU
Lineage: Bacteria; Bacillati; Bacillota; Clostridia; Eubacteriales; Clostridiaceae
Description: tRNA-Ile
Rfam family: Bacterial large subunit ribosomal RNA
Source: RNAcentral
AGCCUAAGGUUUCCUGGGGAAGGUUCGUCCGCCCAGGGUAAGUCGGGACCUAAGCUGAGGUCGAAAGGCGUAAGUGA